UGGGCCAGGAGCUGUUAGUGGUGUGAGUGAUUAUUAACCCCUGCUGUCUAACCAGAAAAGCAGCGGCAAGGGCGAAGUGCGGACACAGCUCGAUCGCCAAAACUCCUGCAACGCUCUUUCAUGUUCGACUUUGGGGCCACCCAUAAGCUCUGGUCCAAUUGUUCACUUCCACACAAUUGAACCAGAUUUCUUCUUUUGAGUGACAUGGAUGCUUUCGAGGGAAUUCACAGUGUUCGGAUUUCCCCCUCUCCGCCGCCGUCCGGUCGAGCCUAUGAAGUCCUGAAGGCAGGGAGGUCGGGAAUAGCAGUGUAUUCCUCUGCUGUGUUCUUUGGGACGCCAUCCGAGGCUGAGGAGAAGGGCUGUGUGGUAGGAAGGUUGGUAGAUCUGGAUCCCGAGCCAGAUCCCAGAUUGGAGGGAAGAGGCCAGGUUGGGCCCACACUGGAUAUAGACCAUGACGUCCAGUCCCGCCUGCGCAGCUCCUCCUUGGAAAUGCGAGAGAAAGAAAUUCGCGAAAAAGGCUCGGAGAUCCUCAGCGAACAGUUAGAUGCUGCAAAGAAGGAACUCAAACUAAAAGAUAAAGAAUGUGAGCGUCUGUCACAGGUCAGGAUUCAGUUGGAGCAAGAACUAGAGGAGCUCACCGCCAGUUUAUUUGAGGAGGCUCACAGGAUGGUACGCGAGGCAAACGUCAAACAAGCAGGAGCAGAGAAACAACUGAAGGAGGCUCAGGGAAAGAUUGACGUCCUUCAAGCUGAAGUGACGGUGCUCAAGUCUCUGGUGUUGACCUCCACUCCAUCCGCGCCCAACCGCCAACUGCAUCCUCAGCUGCAGCUCUCCAUCGGCGGAAACAAUCGCAACAAGAGUAUGAGCGGCGGAUUCCCGUCCCCACCUGGCAAACCGGAACCUCCGUCACUUCCCGUUCAGCCCGUGGUCAAAGAGGACCGAGAGAUGGACUCGGUCCUAUACGCAGAGUUCCUCAUGUGGAAAGAGCAUCCGAGUCUAGAUCGCUCAUCUGCGCUCAUGAGUCGCAUCUACAGAGAAGACAUCGGGCCCUGUCUCUCUUUUACGCGAUCUGAGCUGUCCCAGCUGGUGCAGAGCGCCGUCGAAAACAACUCUCUGACUAUCGAACCCGUGGCCAUGUCAGCGUUACCGAUAGUUAAAGCCUCGGCCAUCGAAUGUGGAGGACCUAAAAAAGACUGGACAGCAUGUUUCCAUUAUUCAAGCCGCGGUUCUUUGAACAGUCCCAAUUUCCCGGCAGAAAAUGUGCGCUAAGCGGCGUGUCGAGACAGUGCAGACAUCGCAUUAAACUCGGCGAUAAGGGCAACUACUACUAUAUUUCCCCCUCCAGCCGAGCACGGAUCACGGCCGUGUGCAACUUUUCUACAUAUAUCCGCUACAUCCAGCAAGGCUUGGUCAGGCAUAAUGCCGAGCAGAUGUUCUGGGAGGUGAUGCGACUACGAAGGGAAAUGAGUGUGGCCAAGUUGGGUUUUUUCCUCACAGAGCAGAGUUAGAUGACCAGAUUGACCAGCAUGAUAUGACACGUAUGGUUUACAAAGAGGUCAACCGAGAAAACAGUUAUACAAUAAAAGGCAAAGUACAAAAGUGCUUAUGAUCUUUCCAUGCUUAGUUUUUAAUCUUGUGCAUAAAGUCCCCCACAAUGUUAUUUGUCCAUACAAAUGCUUUUCAGUACAUUCAAUUGUACCUGAAGACUUAAGUAAAGUAUGAAAAAUAUUACAUACAUAAAGUGUAAAGUUUUACAAGCAUCUUUUAGGGACAGCUCAGCCAUAAGUGUUGGUAUCAAACGAGAUGUUAAGCUCUAAAAUCUAAAUUACGCAAAUGACGUUUUGCACAUCCAAAAUUAACACAAUGUAUGAGCCAUUGACAACAAUGCAUAAAUGUAGUCCAUAGCUAUGUUCUGUCAUUUUGCAUUGGUUAUUUUACCUCAUUAUGUAUUAUUAUAGUUUUUAUUUUGAACAGUCAACUGUAUUUUGAAGGUGACAAUGAAGAAAUAUGUAGGUGCAAUAAUCGCUUGUAUGGCAGUGAACUGCCAACACUCCAUUAAAGUUUGACUAUGCCGUA
Syngnathus acus (greater pipefish) is the source of this 2076-nucleotide RNA transcript. It is a transcript of the gene named RAB3A interacting protein (rabin3)-like 1, with no coding region annotated. The transcript has 11 exons. Lineage: Eukaryota; Metazoa; Chordata; Actinopteri; Syngnathiformes; Syngnathidae. The record is from RefSeq and is a predicted model, not a curated record.